GCCAGAGCCUCUGAUCCCCAACCCAACCUCAAGGGCUCCUUUUUACCUCUCUGGGAGACCUCCUUACCCUCUGUAGACCUGGGGUUCUCAACACCCAAGUCCAGCUUGGAGAACAAGUCGGUUGGGGAUGGAGGAUCAAAAUAUCACUUCCUCUGAGGCCCCCCGGGUAGAGUCGGUGAUGUCACUUCCCCAGUGAUGUCACUUCCCCUAUGAUCUCCCAGAGCCUUGUAGGAUCCGGAUGGUUGGCUAACUCCCAGUCUGUGCUGGAAAGGACUGGAAGGGUAUUUAGGUGAAUGGAAUGACGUAUGUAAAGGUCUUUGUUGAGCACCAGGAAGGAGAGCAAGAUGGAGACACCAUGGCUGGAGCUGGGACUCUAUUUGGAUCUCUCAAGGGAGAAGGUAGCCUCUAUUCGGAGGGCCACAGGGAACGUGGCUAGCUGCACUCGCUCAGUGGAAAGGAAUGCACAGCCCCAGAGCCCCAGAGCCCCAGAGCCCCGGAGAAGAAGAUCAGCUACGCCAGGCCUUGAACAUCUCUGGAGCAGCAAUACUUGGGGCCCAGGGCCCCUUGCUCUGUGAGCCUAGCCAGUAAUGAAGACCAUGUGAGGGCUGUGGGCUCCCCCCUCCUUCCUGGCUUAGCAGAGAGGCUCUCAGGAAGUGUGGAGGGAAGGGGGGGUCCUGCCUGGCUGUCCAGAUGGAAGAAUUGUGCUGAGGAGAUGAGGAGCUAGCAGGGGUCACGGAGGCCCACUCCUCCCUCAAGCUGUCUACGUGUGCAGGACUCUGAAUGGUACCUGUCCCAUCAACCCGUUCCCUCAAACUAGGUGUCUGAUCCUAUUUCAGAAAGAUCACAAGCACCAGGGUUCAA
Molecule: long non-coding RNA, 861 nt
Organism: Rattus norvegicus (Norway rat)
Lineage: Eukaryota; Metazoa; Chordata; Mammalia; Rodentia; Muridae
Source: RefSeq, a predicted model, not a curated record